Molecule: RNA transcript, 1943 nt
Organism: Fukomys damarensis (Damara mole-rat)
Lineage: Eukaryota; Metazoa; Chordata; Mammalia; Rodentia; Bathyergidae
Gene: Prr16
Gene name: proline rich 16
Exons: 2
Source: RefSeq, a predicted model, not a curated record
GUUGUUGAGCAGAUUGAUUCCCUGACCUCCGACCUGCAGCUGGAGGAUGAGAUGACCGACAGCUCCAAAACGGACACCUUGAACAGCAGCUCCAGUGGUACCACAGCCUCCAGCAUAGAGAAGAUCAAAGUGCAGGCCAGCGCACCCCUCAUCAAACCCCCGGCACACCCGUCCGCCAUCCUCACAGUCCUAAGAAAGCCAAAGCCUCCGCCGCCUCCACCACGGCUGACACCUGUGAAGUGCGAAGACCCACAGAGAGGGGUGCCCACUGCCCAUCCUGUGAAGACCAAUGGCACUCUUCUGCGAAACGGGGGCUUGUCCUGUGGACCUAGCAAAAUCCCAAACGGAGACAUCUGCUGCAUGCCCAGUCUUAAUCUGGACAAGACUUCACUACAGCCUCUGAUGCAUAGACCUGAAAAAGACAGGUGUCCCCAGGCAGGGCCUCGGGAACGAGUGCGGUUUAAUGAGAAAGUACAAUACCAUGGCUACUGUCCUGACUGUGACAACCGAUAUAACAUGAAAACCAGGGCAGUCCACUCGCACAGCGAGCCUGUCCAUCCCCCAGGAAAGACUCCGCACCAAGGGCCGCCGCUCCCUUCUGCCCCCCACCUCCCUCCCUUCCCAUUAGAAAAUGGGAGCCUGGGAAUCAGCCACAGCAGCAGUUUUCCCCCUCUCAGACCUGCAACUGUGCCUCCUCCCACUGCGCCAAAACCACACAAGACCAUCCUGAGGAAGUCCACCACCACCACGGUGUGAUGUAUGCCAUUUUAAAACUUCUUGGCUCUUAAUUUCUAUAUCAUUAUCAUUAAAUAAUAAGUAAUGAGCACUUUCUACUCAAGCAAUAAAAAGCUCAAAUAUAUUAAUCCUGCAUUCAACAAAGUGGCAUAAAACCAACUGCCCCUGCAGGAUGGAUGCACCUUUGUUUGGUGGCACGUCAAUUCAGUUUUCUCACUUACAAUUCAUCUUUAUGACUCCUUGAGGCCAGACCUAUCUCCACAGUAACCAGGAGCCUGACCAUGACAGAGCAGCAAAACCUUCAACUUCAAGCACAAUGAUCACUGAUAUGGUCUGCAUAAAACCUUCUAGCUACAGCCAUGUGCAGAGCCCUGGGGGCAAAAAAAGCCACAGCCUUAAAUAUUUUCACUCAGAAAUUACUAAAAUAUGCAGAUGAAAAAUACUAAAUAAAAAGCCAAUAAAUGAAUGAAAGACAAACCAAACUCAUUUUAUUUCAUUAUGGAAAUAAAAUAUUCUCAGAUAUGAGCCCACAUGACAAAAUUCAAAUUCAGCUAUUAAACUAGGAAGUUAUAAAUUGAUUUAUCAUUUGUGAAGGUUAAAGUAUAGAGACAAGCGGUGUCCCUAUUCGGAAUCACUUGUCAUUUCAAAAUAUGUAGAUACAAACCAAAAUGAACAGACAGGAGCCUCAGUGAGCAGCAGGGACAGAAGAUUGCUGUGCACAGAGAGGACAGUCACUGUCUGUGUGCACCUAAAGCCAUAAAGUGUAAUAGCAUCGUUGCCAGUUAUUUGAGCAGCUUCCGGGUUUAGUCCCUCCUCACCCUUUGUUGGCUGAGAGGGGGAAGUCAGUUCUUACUCACUACCCUCAGAUAUGUUGCUGGUUAUUUGCACUGUCACCUCCAUUCAGGGUAAUAAAGCAUGCUGUGAUUUGCACAGAUGGUCCCAAGGGUUUUGAGACCAGGGGAAGUUUCUCACAGGAGUCUAAAAAGGAAAACUUUACAAUUCUCAAGACAUUGAUUUUUCUCCUAUAAAAAUCGGUGAACUGAAGAGAUGUCUCCAAUUUAAAAGCAUAGCAAAUCAACUACAGAAUAAUAAAGUAUCAGUGUGAUCAAAUAAAAUAAAAGGGAGAUAAAACAUUUUAAUAAAAAUUAUUUUCUAUUAUUAACUUCAAGAAGUCAAAUACAGGUGAAUUGCCCACUAAACAUUUGUGU